CGGGGCGUAGCGCAGCCUGGUAGCGCGCCUGGUUUGGGUCCAGGAGGUCGGAGGUUCGAAUCCUCUCGCCCCGACCA
This 77-nucleotide transfer RNA is filed under the name Alphaproteobacteria bacterium. Its description in RNAcentral is "tRNA-Pro". It matches the Rfam family "tRNA". From Rfam's summary of the family: Transfer RNA (tRNA) molecules are approximately 80 nucleotides in length. Their secondary structure includes four short double-helical elements and three loops (D, anti-codon, and T loops). Further hydrogen bonds mediate the characteristic L-shaped molecular structure. tRNAs have two regions of fundamental functional importance: the anti-codon, which is responsible for specific mRNA codon recognition, and the 3' end, to which the tRNAs corresponding amino acid is attached (by aminoacyl-tRNA synthetases). tRNAs cope with the degeneracy of the genetic code in two manners: having more than one tRNA (with a specific anti-codon) for a particular amino acid; and 'wobble' base-pairing, i.e. permitting non-standard base-pairing at the 3rd anti-codon position. The record is from RNAcentral. RNAcentral also lists the same sequence under 1 other name. Lineage: Bacteria; Pseudomonadati; Pseudomonadota; Alphaproteobacteria.